RNAcentral lists this transfer RNA (90 nucleotides) under Lentisphaeria bacterium. RNAcentral's name for it is "tRNA-Ser". It matches the Rfam family "tRNA". From Rfam's summary of the family: Transfer RNA (tRNA) molecules are approximately 80 nucleotides in length. Their secondary structure includes four short double-helical elements and three loops (D, anti-codon, and T loops). The record is from RNAcentral. Lineage: Bacteria; Pseudomonadati; Lentisphaerota; Lentisphaeria.
GGAGAGAUGGCCGAGUGGUCGAAGGCGCAACAUUGGAAAUGUUGUAUAGGGGUAACUCUAUCGCGGGUUCAAAUCCCGCUCUCUCCGCCA